Molecule: ribosomal RNA, 445 nt
Filed under: uncultured bacterium
Lineage: Bacteria
Description: partial 16S ribosomal RNA
Rfam family: Bacterial small subunit ribosomal RNA
Source: RNAcentral
GUAGGGAAUAUUGGGCAAUGGAUGCAAGUCUGACCCAGCCAUCCCGCGUGCCGGAAGAAGGCCCUCAGGGUUGUAAACGGCUUUUGACGGUGAAGAAUCGACAGGAUGCGUCCUGUUUUGACGGUAGCCGUUGAAUAAGCACCGGCUAACUCCGUGCCAGCAGCCGCGGUAAUACGGAGGGUGCGAGCGUUGUCCGGAUUUAUUGGGUUUAAAGGGUGCGUAGGUUGGAAGGUCAGUCAGCGGUGAAAAGCUGUCGCUUAACGAUAGUCUUGCCGCAGAUACUUCCUUUCUUGGAUGAGGAGGAGGCCACUGGAACGGAUGGUGUAGCGGUGAAAUGCAUAGAUAUCAUCCAGAACACCGAUUGCGAAGGCAGGUGGCUGUACCUUAAUCGACGCUGAUGCACGAAAGCAUGGGGAGCAAACAGGAUUAGAAACCCUGGUAGACC